AAAGGAAUUGACGGGGGCCCGCACAAGCGGUGGAGCAUGUGGUUUAAUUCGAUGAUACGCGAAGAACCUUACCAAGGCUUGACAUACAGUAGACCGGAGUAGAGAUACUCUUUCCAGCAAUGGCUGCUGAACAGGUGCUGCAUGGCUGUCGUCAGCUCGUGUUGUGAGAUGUUGGGUUAAGUCCCGCAACGAGCGCAACCCUUACUGCUAGUUACAAACAGGUAAAGCUGUGGACUCUAGUGGAACUGCCAGUGACAAACUGGAGGAAGGUGGGGAUGACGUCAAGUCCUCAUGGCCCUUAUGCCUUGGGCUACACACGUGCUACAAUGGGCUGAACAAAGGGAAGCGAAGCCGCGAGGUGAAGCGAAACUCAAAAAACAGUCCGUAGUUCAGAUUGAAGUCUGCAACUCGACUUCAUGAAGCUGGAAUCGCUAGUAAUCGUGGAUCAGCAUGCCACGGUGAAUACGUUCCCGGGCCUUGUACACACCGCCCGU
Molecule: ribosomal RNA, 494 nt
Filed under: uncultured bacterium
Lineage: Bacteria
Description: bacterial SSU rRNA
Rfam family: Bacterial small subunit ribosomal RNA
Source: RNAcentral